This 687-nucleotide long non-coding RNA is filed under the name Rattus norvegicus (Norway rat). RNAcentral's name for it is "long non-coding RNA NONRATT002823". Lineage: Eukaryota; Metazoa; Chordata; Mammalia; Rodentia; Muridae. The record is from RNAcentral.
GGGGAUUCUCGUGGUGAGGGUGUGUUCAGUGGGGACAUCCAGGAGCCAGUGAGAAAGGCUUUGAUGGGACGGUGCAAAUCUAUGAUGUCACAUCAUGGGAUGGAAAGAAAACCCAGGUGGAGGCUCUUUUCAUCCACAAAGGCCACAUCUUCCUGGAUGGGAAUGAGGUCGAGUCUGCUCCUCUGGUCACCACCCAUACCUGGCACCCAAGCAAACCCAGAACUUUGCUGUCAGCAGCAAGCGAUGCCGCUCUGCAUGUGUGGGACUGGGUUGACCUCCAGGCCUCCUGACAGCAGCAGCUUCUCUCAUCUGACAAGAGGAGCUGCCUGAGAGGCUGAUGAGGACUCUGAGUGACCACAGGUCUACCACAGCCAUUGGCUUCAGGCAAGCUAGCCUGGCCUUCCGUUGUUCUUAUCUGUAAAAUGAAGGUGUAGUAACUACCACCUAGUACUGUGGGGAGCGUCACAAGAAAAUUACCUGAGAAUAAUGGCAUAAAUGUCUGGAAGCGACCAUUGUCUCUAGGAGCCUUGCCUGUCCAAGUCUAUCAGCAGACUGUGUUCCUGUCUUCACAGCAUCAUGGUGAGAAUCAGGAGAGCUAGAGUGUGAAUAUGGGUGUGAACUUUUUCACAGAAGGAAUCAAUGCCUCAGGGCCAAUAAACAUUGAAAAGAAUACCAGUAAGAAGCAAA